Molecule: ribosomal RNA, 433 nt
Filed under: uncultured bacterium
Lineage: Bacteria
Description: partial 16S ribosomal RNA
Rfam family: Bacterial small subunit ribosomal RNA
Source: RNAcentral
AACGAACGCUGGCGGCAGGCCUAACACAUGCAAGUCGAGCGGACCCUCCUGCGUUAGCGUCGGACGGGCGAGUAACGCGUGGGAAUAUGCCCUUCUCUACGGAAUAGUCUUGGGAAACAGGUUGUAAUAACGUAUACGCCCCUUGGGGUAAGGACUUAUCGGGGAAGGAUUAGCCCGCGGUGGAUUAGGUAGUUGGUGGGGUAAUGGCCUACCAAGCCGACGAUCCAUAGCUGGUUUGGGGGGAUGAUCAGCCACACUGGGACUGAGAGACGGCCCACGUUGCUACGGGAGGCAGCAGUGGGGAAUCUUAGACAAUGGGGGCAACCCUGAUCAAGCCGUGCCGCGUGAGUGAAGAAGGCCUUGGGGUUGUAGAGCUCUUUUAGCUGGGAAGAUAAUGACGGUACCAGCAGAAGAAGCCCCGGCUAACUCCGUG